CAGUAGCCACGGUAAUACGAAGGGGGCUAGCGUUGUUCGGAUUUACUGGGCGUAAAGCGCACGUAGGCGGAUCGAUCAGUCAGGGGUGAAAUCCCAGAGCUCAACUCUGGAACUGCCUUUGAUACUGUCGAUCUGGAGUAUGGAAGAGGUGAGUGGAAUUCCGAGUGUAGAGGUGAAAUUCGUAGAUAUUCGGAGGAACACCAGUGGCGAAGGCGGCUCACUGGUCCAUUACUGACGCUGAGGUGCGAAAGCGUGGGGAGCAAACAGGAUUAGAUACCCCUGUAGUCCCUGUCUCUUAUAC
This 301-nucleotide ribosomal RNA is filed under the name uncultured bacterium. Its description in RNAcentral is "partial 16S ribosomal RNA". It matches the Rfam family "Bacterial small subunit ribosomal RNA", at positions 509 to 807 of the family's 1533-position model. The record is from RNAcentral.